AGAGGGGCGGGGCGCCAGCAGCAGGCUUAGUCCAAUCAAGGCUCGUUUGUUCCUCCUGGGUUUGCCAGGGAGGCAAUACCUGCCUAACCCACUUUAGGUGUCUGACCUGUCCUUUCCGCAUUCUGGGGUCCAGACCAUGUCCUAGACGUUCCUGGUCCCCGAUUCCCUCCCGUUCAACUCCGUUCAGAUGCUCACCUGGCUGGAACACACCUAGCCCAGGCUGAGCUUGGUGGGUAGAUGGGCUCUCUGGUUUUAGCAGCUGACCUGUCUCAUCCCUCUGUCCCCAGUCUAGAGCCUCUGCACUCCCAUUGUCCUAGGUCUCGUAUUGGGCAGAGGGCUCGGCUUCUGACCCGCCCUGCUCACAGGUUCCUGGGCACCGAUUCCCACGACUCCUACUUCUCCAACGGGCAGAGGCAUCGUGUGGUGGCAGAGAUCCUGGCUCGCACAGUCUAUGGGAAGCAGGAACGAGAAGAGAUGGGCAUUGCCCAUCUGCUGGCCGAGGGAGUCUAUGCUGCAGCCUUCCCACUGCAUGAGGGAAGAGAUCUGUGCCAGUGGAGGUGCCUUCCUCAUGUGGCCACUCUGUGACACCUGUGCCACAUGGAAUAUUUCCGAUGAUAGAAGCUUUGGUGAGGUUAGACAUUGGGACCUUUGGAGUCUCAAAGAGAAGCCCUGCCUGGAAUGGGGAAGAAGGGGAGAAGCAUUCCACUCACCAACCCAGCCAGCCAGCUGCCUAUCCAUCCAAACGUCCAAUCAUUGAUUCUGUAUCUGUUUGGUUCCGUCUCCACUGUCACCCUCCAGCCCAAGCCAGCAUUCUCUCACCUGGACCACUGCAGUGGCCUCCCAACAGGUCUCCUUGCUCCUCUGUUUGCCCCACUUAAUCCGUUCUCAGCUGCCAGGGCAUUCUUUUG
This 908-nucleotide long non-coding RNA is filed under the name Equus asinus (donkey). Its description in RNAcentral is "lncRNA (ENSEASG00005015870.2)". Lineage: Eukaryota; Metazoa; Chordata; Mammalia; Perissodactyla; Equidae. The record is from RNAcentral.